This 67-nucleotide ribosomal RNA is filed under the name Bacillus subtilis. Its description in RNAcentral is "partial 16S ribosomal RNA". It matches the Rfam family "Bacterial small subunit ribosomal RNA", at positions 1 to 67 of the family's 1533-position model. The record is from RNAcentral. RNAcentral also lists the same sequence under 5 other names. Lineage: Bacteria; Bacillati; Bacillota; Bacilli; Caryophanales; Bacillaceae.
UUAUCGGAGAGUUUGAUCCUGGCUCAGGACGAACGCUGGCGGCGUGCCUAAUACAUGCAAGUCGAGC